RNAcentral lists this ribosomal RNA (468 nucleotides) under uncultured bacterium. RNAcentral's name for it is "partial 16S ribosomal RNA". It matches the Rfam family "Bacterial small subunit ribosomal RNA", at positions 28 to 507 of the family's 1533-position model. The record is from RNAcentral.
GACGAACGCUGGCGGCGUGCUUAACACAUGCAAGUCGAACGGCAAGGCCCUGCUUUUGUGGGGUGCUCGAGUGGCGAACGGGUGAGUAACACGUGAGUAACCUGCCCUUUACUUUGGUAUAACUUCAGGAAACUGGGGCUAAUACCGUAUAGGAGCUCCUGCUGCAUUGUGGGGGUUGGAACGUUUCGGCGGUUGGGGAUGGACUCGCGGCUUAUCAGCUUGUUGGUUGGGUAGUGGCUUACCAAGGCUUUGACGGGUAGCCGGCAUGAGAGGGUGACCGGCGACAUUGGGACUGAGAUACGGACCAGACGCGUACGGGAGGCAGCAGUGGGGAAUAUUGCACAAUGGGCGGAAGCCUGAUGCAGCAACGCCGCGUGCGGGAUGACGGCCUUCGGGUUGUAAACCGCUUUCGCCUGUGACGAAGCGGGAGUGACGGUAAUGGGUAAAGAAGCACCGGCUAACUACGUG